Long non-coding RNA from Impatiens glandulifera, 2417 nucleotides. RefSeq lists it as uncharacterized. The record is from RefSeq and is a predicted model, not a curated record. Lineage: Eukaryota; Viridiplantae; Streptophyta; Magnoliopsida; Ericales; Balsaminaceae. The transcript has 4 exons.
CACAUCGCUCUUCACAUAGAAUAAUACAGUCUUCUUAUAUUCGAACGAAAGAGAAGAGUUCGUCCCUUCGGGGACAUCCGAUAAAAUUGGAACGAUACAGAGAAGAUUAGCAUGGCCCCUGCGCAAGGAUGACACGCACAAAUCGAGAAAUGGUCCAAAUUUUUUUUUGCCUCCCUCCCUCCUCGUGCUGCGGCGACGGGAAACACCGGAAAUCUAUUUGCGAUCUUCAGCGGUGAGAAAGAUUGGCGGCGGCAGUGGAACCGGAACCUUGCGACAAGAAAGAUUUGAUUCAUCAGGUUUCUUCCUUCCUGCACCUUUUGUUUAUAUAUAUGUAUGUUGUUAAGAGUUUGUUCUGAAAUCGUAUUAGGGUUGUUCCUUGGAAUCUUGUUGUUUGAUGGGGGUCUCCUUCAUAAACCUUUGACAAAUCAAAUCUUUGCUUGUCAGGGCAUGUUUGAUAAGCGUUGUUUCCUACCACCUGUUUGUUUCAUUGCUGUUUGUUUGGGUUCAUCAAGCCUAAAUUGAAUUUGAUUUAGUUGUUGAAAUCAUCUUUAAGCUGCUUUCUAUUCUUCGUUUUUAUUGUCUGCUUUGUUGUUGUUGAUGAUAUGUUGCAUUGCUUUUCCAUGUUCAUAUAUGCGCCUACAUUACUAUUUACUAGUACAAAAAGAAGUUCAUUGUUGAUAUUCCUCCUCUAUAUGUUGUGGGUGGACAUGGAUCUUCUGUUCAUUUACUAGAUCAUGGACAUGUAAUGUUUUUGAAUUUUUCUUCUUCCUCCAGUGGACAUACAAAAGUUCCUGGUGUGAUUGAUCAGCAGCUAACUUUUCUAGUAAAUGUUGAGAACUAUGUGUUGAUGAAAGGUUGUUGAUAUUGAAGUUUAGUCACACAUAGUUCAGUUCAGUUCAGUUCAGUCAAUUGUGUGUUGUUUCAAAGAGGGUAUUUAGAGUUAUAAGUGCACAGUUUGUUGUCUUUAGCUGUUUGGUAAUACCUGUGUUUGAUUUGUUAUACACAUACAUAUGCUCAUGUUGGAUUUCUCUCUUGCAUUAUUUAUAUAUAUAUAUAGCAAUUGUAUGUGGACAACUUAAUCCUAAUUUCAUUUAUUCCUCUUCUCUCUCGGUUGAAUUCUUCAAUGGGUCUUGAAAUAUAACAGGAGAGUUCACAAAAGAUUUGUAUCUAUCAUAUAUAUAUAUAUAUAUAUAUAUAUAGUCUAGCCUUCUAUGGAGUUUCCGUUUCAUAACCAGGAUUAGAUGAGUUUUUAAUAUGUCACAUUUCUAGUUUGUGAUUUAUGCUACUGAUCCUGACUGCUGUCAUCAUUCAAAUGUCCAGCUUGAAUAAAAAAACCCUGUAAUCAUAAGUGUCUAAAAUCUCUAAUUAGAAAGCUUGGCAAAAUUAUCAAAGAGGUGAAACAGUUAAAUGAUAUAUAAAAGCUGGUUUGGUCUUAACCUAUGUUCUUAGGCAACAAUUCAUAUUCCUUAGAAAGCUAGUAACUUAAGACAAAGUGAGUAAAUUUAAAGCGGUUGAGGAUAAUUCAUGUCCACCGCUAAUGAGAAAAUGAAUAUUUAAUCAUAUCCUUUGUUUCCAAUUGCCCUCACAGUGCGAAAAUUUUCGAUCAAGUUGAAUUAAAGAAUGAAGAUUAUCGAUGGUCAUAAGGAAAGCAUCAAUGUCAUGUGCUGGAUGUUUCUUCUUCUUCUUCGGACCAAUAUCCAAUAUCUACAUGGUCCUAGUGUGGCGGUUGGGGUUGGAGGAGGGUUUGAUACUCUUGCACUUUUCUUGUUUCUUGGUGCUGCUGCUGUUCAGGAAAUUCCUUGGUGGAUCUUGGGAUGAAAAUGAAUGAUUCAGAUGGUUUUUGGAGGGAUUGCAGUUGUUUGUGGGAUGGUUGGAACUGUAGCUGGAGGUUACGUUCUUGAUCUCAUGUCUUCCACAAUCUCCAAUGCUUUUAAGGAUAUAAUAAAACCUAGAGGAUCACAGCUCUUAUUUUAACAUCUGUUCUUUUUCUGGCAGCCUCAACAUGAUUCUUAGGGAUCUAUGUUCACAAGACAGAUAAAUCGAUGGAGGAUUCAGAUGAGAUAAGUGACAAGUGUAUCAAAACGCCUUUGAUUGAAGAGAAAGCUGAAAAAGUCAAAACUGCAGGUGAACCAUAAUAGGCAGACAAAGAAAGGUUGGCUGGCCGGCAUUGUAGGAAUUACAUGUGAUAUGCUUUUUCAAGUAUUUGUAUAUUAUUGUUAUAAUCUUAAUAGUUAUUAUUCUGGAAGCAAACCAUGUAUUAUUAUUAUUAUAUAGUGAAAUAAUAAUUUUAAAAGUGAAACUUCAAAUUAUAAAAUUUUGUUUUCAAUAAUAAAAUGCAUGGUAACUUUCAGUUUCUUUUGACAGACAGACAGGUCUAUUAUAAGUUUAUAUUUCCCAUAUUAAUUAAUACUGUUUUU